GGCCUACCAUGGUUUCAACGGGUAACGGGGAAUAAGGGUUCGAUUCCGGAGAGGGAGCCUGAGAAACGGCUACCACAUCCAAGGAAGGCAGCAGGCGCGCAAAUUACCCAAUCCCGACACGGGGAGGUAGUGACAAUAAAUAACAAUAUAGGGCUCUUUCGGGUCUUAUAAUUGGAAUGAGUACAAUUUAAAUCCCUUAACGAGGAACAAUUGGAGGGCAAGUCUGGUGCCAGCAGCCGCGGUAAUUCCAGCUCCAAUAGCGUAUAUUAAAGUUGUUGCAGUUAAAAAGCUCGUAGUUGAACUUCAGACCUGGUUGGGCGGUCCGCUUAACGGCGUGUACUGUCCGACUGGGCCUUACCUCUUGGUGAGCCGGCGUGCCCUUUAUUGGCGUGCGUCGGGGAACCAGGACUUUUACCUUGAGAAAAUUAGAGUGUUCAAAGCAGGCCUAUGCCCGAAUACAUUAGCAUGGAAUAAUAAAAUAGGACGUUUGAUUCUAUUUUGUUGGUUUCUAGAGUCGCCGUAAUGAUUAAUAGGGAUAGUUGGGGGCAUUGGUAUUGAGUCGCUAGAGGUGAAAUUCUUGGAUUUAUUGAAGACUAACUACUGCGAAAGCAUUUGCCAAGGAUGUUUUCAUUAAUCAAGAACGAAAGUUAGGGGAUCGAAGACGAUCAGAUACCGUCGUAGUCUUAACCAUAAACUAUGCCGACUAGGGAUCGGAUGAUGUUAAUUUUUUAAUGACUCAUUCGGCGCCUUACG
This 753-nucleotide ribosomal RNA is filed under the name uncultured Glomeromycotina. Its description in RNAcentral is "SSU rRNA". It matches the Rfam family "Eukaryotic small subunit ribosomal RNA", at positions 338 to 1092 of the family's 1831-position model. Lineage: Eukaryota; Fungi; Glomeromycota. The record is from RNAcentral.